This 136-nucleotide ribosomal RNA is filed under the name uncultured eukaryote. RNAcentral's name for it is "partial 18S ribosomal RNA". It matches the Rfam family "Eukaryotic small subunit ribosomal RNA", at positions 1299 to 1458 of the family's 1831-position model. The record is from RNAcentral.
UGGUGGAGCGAUUUGUCUGGUUUAUUCCGAUAACGAACGAGACUCUAACCUACCAACUAGCGACUGUAUUCGACUAGUUCAGUUCUCUUCUUAGAGGGAUAAGUGGUGUUCAGCCACAUGAAAAGGAGCAAUAACA